This 325-nucleotide ribosomal RNA is filed under the name uncultured eukaryote. RNAcentral describes it as "partial 18S ribosomal RNA". It matches the Rfam family "Eukaryotic small subunit ribosomal RNA", at positions 1470 to 1796 of the family's 1831-position model. The record is from RNAcentral.
CCCUUAGAUGUUCUGGGCCGCACGCGCGCUGCACUGACGGAGUCAACGAGUGCCCCUGCGUCGGGAGGCGUGGGUAAUCUUCCAAACUUCGUCGUGCUGGGGAUAGAUCUUUGCAAUUAUCGAUCUUGAACGAGGAAUUCCUAGUAAGCGCAAGUCAUCAGCUUGCGUUGAUUACGUCCCUGCCCUUUGUACACACCGCCCGUCGCUACUACCGAUUGAAUGGUUUAGUGAGGCCUCGGGACUGGCAUAUGGGCGCUGGCAACAGCACCCUCGUGCCGGGAACCUGGUCAAACUUGAUCAUUUAGAGGAAGUAAAAGUCGUAACA